This 462-nucleotide long non-coding RNA is filed under the name Junco hyemalis (dark-eyed junco). Its description in RNAcentral is "lncRNA (ENSJHYG00000016723.1)". The record is from RNAcentral. Lineage: Eukaryota; Metazoa; Chordata; Aves; Passeriformes; Passerellidae.
AGAGCUUGCAGGGUCCAUAGGAGGAAUACAGUGAAACAUAAAUUGUAACAAGCCUGAAAUCUCAUGUGAACUACUAUUGAACCAGAACGAGGGAGACUGCAGACAAGAUGUAUAGAACCUGAAAUCUGCACCAUCUGAAUUUGUCACCCAAAUUAACUGCGUGUGUGUCUUUGGACUCUCAGCAAGAAGAAAUUAUUACAGCUUUUAGAUCUAAAUCACAGCUGCUUAAAAUACUAUGACCUUGCAAGGAAAAGGAAGGUCACCUGAAGAAAUCUUUACACACCUCCAAUGUUUCCUGAAGGGACAUUUUGGAUCAGAAGAAAACAGAGAUCUAAUCUAAUGGUAUUUAAAAUGUGUCUUUGCAUUUCCUGCAUAACUGGAUCCUAGCUCAUUAAAGGUAAGACCUUUUUUUGCAAUCCCCUUAGGAGCAGUGCAUAGCAAGGGAAACUGCAUGGUUUGCAC